RNAcentral lists this ribosomal RNA (497 nucleotides) under uncultured bacterium. Its description in RNAcentral is "partial 16S ribosomal RNA". It matches the Rfam family "Bacterial small subunit ribosomal RNA", at positions 28 to 507 of the family's 1533-position model. The record is from RNAcentral.
GAUGAACGCUGGCGGCGUGCCUAAUACAUGCAAGUCGAGCGAACGGACGAGAAGCUUGCUUCUCUGAUGUUAGCGGCGGACGGGUGAGUAACACGUGGAUAACCUACCUAUAAGACUGGGAUAACUUCGGGAAACCGGAGCUAAUACCGGAUAAUAUUUUGAACCGCAUGGUUCAAAAGUGAAAGACGGUCUUGCUGUCACUUAUAGAUGGAACCGCGCUGCAUUAGCUAGUUGGUAAGGUAACGGCUUACCAAGGCAACGAUGCAUAGCCGACCUGAGAGGGUGAUCGGCCACACUGGAACUGAGACACGGUCCAGACUCCUACGGGAGGCAGCAGUAGGGAAUCUUCCGCAAUGAGCGAAAGCCUGACGGAGCAACGCCGCGUGAGUGAUGAAGGUCUUCGGAUCGUAAAACUCUGUUAUUAGGGAAGAACAUAUGUGUAAGUAACUGUGCACAUCUUGACGGUACCUAAUCAGAAAGCCACGGCUAACUACGUG